This 217-nucleotide small nucleolar RNA is filed under the name Cercocebus atys (sooty mangabey). Its description in RNAcentral is "Small nucleolar RNA U3 (ENSCATG00000005938.1)". It matches the Rfam family "Small nucleolar RNA U3". Rfam says of the family: Small nucleolar RNAs (snoRNAs) are involved in the processing and modification of rRNA in the nucleolus. There are two main classes of snoRNAs: the box C/D class, and the box H/ACA class. Lineage: Eukaryota; Metazoa; Chordata; Mammalia; Primates; Cercopithecidae. The record is from Rfam by way of RNAcentral.
AAGACUUUACUUUCAGGGAUCAUUUGUAUAGAAGUUCUAGAAGAAACUAGAGAAGUUUCUCUGCACAGGUAGAGCACCGGAAACCACCAGGAGGAGGCACGUUCUCUCCUGAACUUGUGAAGCUGGUCUUGGUGUUACUUUGCAAUUGCCAUUUUGCAUUGAUGGGCGUUCAUUUCCCUCCAGCAAAGUAAGACAGAGAAGAUGCAGCCUGAGUGGU